GACGAACGCUGGCGGCGUGCUUAACACAUGCAAGUCGAACGAAGAGCGAUGGAUGCUUGCUUCUAUCAAUCUUAGUGGCGAACGGGUGAGUAACGCGUAAUCAACCUGCCCUUCAGAGGGGGACAACAGUUGGAAACGACUGCUAAUACCGCAUACGAUCUAAUCUCGGCAUCGAGGAUAGAUGAAAGGUGGCCUCUACAUGUAAGCUAUCACUGAAGGAGGGGAGUGCGUCUGAUUAGCUAGUUGGAGGGGUAACGGCCCACCAAGGCGAUGUUCAGUAGCCGGUCUGGGAGGAUGGACCGCCACAAUGGGACUGGGACACGGCCCAGACUCCUACGGGAAGGAGCAGGGGGGAAUCUUCCGCAAUGGACGGAAGUCUGACGGAGCAACGCCGCGUGAGUGAUGACGGCCUUCGGGUUGUAAAGCUCUGUUAAUCGGGACGAAAGGCCUUCUUGCGAAUAGUGAGAAGGAUUGACGGUACCGGAAUAGAAAGCCACGGCUAACUACGUG
RNAcentral lists this ribosomal RNA (510 nucleotides) under uncultured bacterium. RNAcentral describes it as "partial 16S ribosomal RNA". It matches the Rfam family "Bacterial small subunit ribosomal RNA", at positions 28 to 507 of the family's 1533-position model. The record is from RNAcentral.